This 1372-nucleotide ribosomal RNA is filed under the name uncultured bacterium. RNAcentral's name for it is "bacterial SSU rRNA". It matches the Rfam family "Bacterial small subunit ribosomal RNA", at positions 28 to 1381 of the family's 1533-position model. The record is from RNAcentral.
GAUGAACGCUGGCGGCGUGCCUAAUACAUGCAAGUCGAGCGAACGGACGAGAAGCUUGCUUCUCUGAUGUUAGCGGCGGACGGGUGAGUAACACGUGGAUAACCUACCUAUAAGACUGGGAUAACUUCGGGAAACCGGAGCUAAUACCGGAUAAUAUUUUGAACCGCAUGGUUCAAAAGUGAAAGACGGUCUUGCUGUCACUUAUAGAUGGAUCCGCGCUGCAUUAGCUAGUUGGUAAGGUAACGGCUUACCAAGGCAACGAUGCAUAGCCGACCUGAGAGGGUGAUCGGCCACACUGGAACUGAGACACGGUCCAGACUCCUACGGGAGGCAGCAGUAGGGAAUCUUCCGCAAUGGGCGAAAGCCUGACGGGGCAACGCCGCGUGAGUGAUGAAGGUCUUCGGAUCGUAAAACUCUGUUAUUAGGGAAGAACAUAUGUGUAAGUAACUGUGCACAUCUUGACGGUACCUAAUCAGAAAGCCACGGCUAACUACGUGCCAGCAGCCGCGGUAAUACGUAGGUGGCAAGCGUUAUCCGGAAUUAUUGGGCGUAAAGCGCGCGUAGGCGGUUUUUUAAGUCUGAUGUGAAAGCCCACGGCUCAACCGUGGAGGGUCAUUGGAAACUGGAAAACUUGAGUGCAGAAGAGGAAAGUGGAAUUCCAUGUGUAGCGGUGAAAUGCGCAGAGAUAUGGAGGAACACCAGUGGCGAAGGCGACUUUCUGGUCUGUAACUGACGCUGAUGUGCGAAAGCGUGGGGAUCAAACAGGAUUAGAUACCCUGGUAGUCCACGCCGUAAACGAUGAGUGCUAAGUGUUAGGGGGUUUCCGCCCCUUAGUGCUGCAGCUAACGCAUUAAGCACUCCGCCUGGGGAGUACGACCGCAAGGUUGAAACUCAAAGGAAUUGACGGGGACCCGCACAAGCGGUGGAGCAUGUGGUUUAAUUCGAAGCAACGCGAAGAACCUUACCAAAUCUUGACAUCCUUUGACAACUCUAGAGAUAGAGCUUUCCCCUUCGGGGGACAAAGUGACAGGUGGUGCAUGGUUGUCGUCAGCUCGUGUCGUGAGAUGUUGGGUUAAGUCCCGCAACGAGCGCAACCCUUAAGCUUAGUUGCCAUCAUUAAGUUGGGCACUCUAAGUUGACUGCCGGUGACAAACCGGAGGAAGGUGGGGAUGACGUCAAAUCAUCAUGCCCCUUAUGAUUUGGGCUACACACGUGCUACAAUGGACAAUACAAAGGGCAGCGAAACCGUGAGGUCAAGCAAAUCCCAUAAAGUUGUUCUCAGUUCGGAUUGUAGUCUGCAACUCGACUACAUGAAGCUGGAAUCGCUAGUAAUCGUAGAUCAGCAUGCUACGGUGAAUACGUUCCCGGGUCU